Mycetomoellerius zeteki is the source of this 251-nucleotide long non-coding RNA. RefSeq lists it as uncharacterized. The transcript is spliced from 3 exons. NCBI's taxonomy places the organism in Eukaryota, Metazoa, Arthropoda, Insecta, Hymenoptera, Formicidae. The record is from RefSeq and is a predicted model, not a curated record.
CAUUUAUAAAUAAGUUAUAGUCUGCUGCUUUCACUUGCUAAAGCUAACCAAAAUGUAACGUGCUUCUGAGAGUUGGAUCAAGCUUGCAUCCCGAAAAAUAUAAUUGCAAGAUCCAUUGUCCAUUUACCAAGCGAUACUGCCACGUUUAUCUUUGGAAGACUGCGUUUUAAUCAAACUGCUCUUGCAAGGCACGGCUAUAUCAUUGUAAAAAGAAUAGAAGAAUCCACCAGAUUCCACCAGACACACUGCAG